CCCCAGAACUCUCCCUGGGCCAGGUGUAUCAGUGCCCUGUGAUGGACGUAUGGAACCUCCAUGUCAUUCUCUAUUCCAUGGUGGCCGGGGCCCUGACCUUCUACUCAGGGAACCUGGUGGACCUGAGGAAAAAAAUUAUCACAGGACAAUACUAUUCCCCACCAUUUUUUCCCUCUUCAAAUUGAAAGAUUUAUUAAAAAGUACUUAAUGCUAAACGUUAGGGAGCGAUCCCUACUGGAACAACUGAUGAGGGGCCCGUGGGUGAACAGUGGCCAGAGAUCUCAUUGAUAUCGUACAAAGAGCCACUCCUGGACCACCCGAACUCCAACAACUCAGCUCACGGUGGCCAUGGGAUUCAAGGCUGAGAACAUCUCAGUGCCAAAAAAAAAAAAAAACAUUCAACUAUCCCAUGGCCACCUACCUCAUUUUAGAGCACACAAAACAAAAAGGAAGCACUCUACCAUCAGAAAACUGUCUCUUCUUCCUGGAGUUCCCACCUCUCCUUCUCCAUCUGCUGAAGUUUCCACCUUCCCUCUCCCACUGGAGCAGGCUCACAGCGAGCCAAUUUGUCCCAUAUUCAAUAUUCAGCUGUCGGAGAACGGCCAGAAGUCAGGGCAGAAGACCACCAUUCCUGCCAGUGCACUUGCCAUCCUGUAGAGGAAGCCAGACAGUUUUAGUGAAAACCCCAGCAUGACCCUGUGGGCUCCUCCUCUACCCAGAGCACCAGCAGUAGUGGAAGAGACCCAGAAAAAAC
RNAcentral lists this long non-coding RNA (754 nucleotides) under Homo sapiens (human). RNAcentral's name for it is "non-protein coding lnc-HMCES-5:2". The record is from RNAcentral. Lineage: Eukaryota; Metazoa; Chordata; Mammalia; Primates; Hominidae.